This 497-nucleotide ribosomal RNA is filed under the name uncultured bacterium. RNAcentral's name for it is "partial 16S ribosomal RNA". It matches the Rfam family "Bacterial small subunit ribosomal RNA", at positions 28 to 507 of the family's 1533-position model. The record is from RNAcentral.
GACGAACGCUGGCGGCGUGCCUAAUACAUGCAAGUUGAGCGCUGAAGGUUGGUACUUGUACCAACUGGAUGAGCAGCGAACGGGUGAGUAACGCGUGGGGAAUCUGCCUUUGAGCGGGGGACAACAUUUGGAAACGAAUGCUAAUACCGCAUAAAAACUUUAAACACAAGUUUUAAGUUUGAAAGAUGCAAUUGCAUCACUCAAAGAUGAUCCCGCGUUGUAUUAGCUAGUUGGUGAGGUAAAGGCUCACCAAGGCGAUGAUACAUAGCCGACCUGAGAGGGUGAUCGGCCACAUUGGGACGGAGACACGGCCCAAACUCCUACGGGAGGCAGCAGUAGGGAAUCGUCGGCAAUGGACGAAAGUCUGACCGAGCAACGCCGCGUGAGUGAAGAAGGUUUUCGGAUCGUAAAACUCUGUUGGUAGAGAAGAACGUUGGUGAGAGUGGAAAGCUCAUCAAGUGACGGUAACUACCCAGAAAGGGACGGCUAACUACGUG